GAGGAUGCGAGCGUUAUCCGGAUUUAUUGGGUUUAAAGGGUGCGUAGGCGGCGAUGAAAGUCAGCGGUAAAAUCGCGGGGCCCAACCCCGUCGAGCCGUUGAAACUGCGUUGCUUGAGUUGGCGAGAAGUACGCGGAAUGCGCGGUGUAGCGGUGAAAUGCAUAGAUAUCGCGCAGAACUCCGAUUGCGAAGGCAGCGUACCGGCGCCAUACUGACGCUGAGGCACGAAAGCGUGGGGAUCGAAC
This 245-nucleotide ribosomal RNA is filed under the name uncultured bacterium. RNAcentral describes it as "partial 16S ribosomal RNA". It matches the Rfam family "Bacterial small subunit ribosomal RNA", at positions 528 to 773 of the family's 1533-position model. The record is from RNAcentral.